RNAcentral lists this ribosomal RNA (279 nucleotides) under uncultured bacterium. RNAcentral describes it as "partial 16S ribosomal RNA". It matches the Rfam family "Bacterial small subunit ribosomal RNA", at positions 506 to 784 of the family's 1533-position model. The record is from RNAcentral.
UGCCAGCCGCCGCGGUAACACGGGGGGCGCAAGCGUUAUUCGGAAUUAUUGGGCGUAAAGGGCGCGUAGGCGGUCUUGUCGGUCAGAUGUGAAAGCCCAGGGCUCAACCUCGGAGCUGCAUUUGAAACUGCUUGUCUUGAGGAUAGACGGGGAAAACGGAAUUCCACAUGUAGCGGUGAAAUGCGUAGAUAUGUGGAAGAACACCUGUGGCGAAAGCGGUUUUCUAGUUCAUUCCUGGCGCUGAGGCGCGAAAGCAAGGGGAGCAAACAGGAUUAGAUA